RNAcentral lists this ribosomal RNA (465 nucleotides) under uncultured bacterium. RNAcentral describes it as "bacterial SSU rRNA". It matches the Rfam family "Bacterial small subunit ribosomal RNA", at positions 917 to 1382 of the family's 1533-position model. The record is from RNAcentral.
GGGCCCGCACAAGCGGUGGAGCAUGUGGUUUAAUUCGACGCAACGCGAAGAACCUUACCCAGACUUGACAUGCAUCGGACGGGUGUGGAAACACACCUUCCCUUCGGGGCCGAUGCACAGGUGCUGCAUGGCUGUCGUCAGCUCGUGUCGUGAGAUGUUGGGUUAAGUCCCGCAACGAGCGCAACCCUUGUCCUUAGUUGCUAACGGGUCAAGCCGAGCACUCUAAGGAGACUGCCGGUGGUAAACCGGAGGAAGGUGGGGAUGACGUCAAGUCCUCAUGGCCCUUACGUCUGGGGCUACACACGUGCUACAAUGGCCGGUACAGAGGGUUCCGAUACCGCGAGGUGGAGGUAAUCCCAAAAAACCGGUCUCAGUUCGGAUUGCAGUCUGCAACUCGACUGCAUGAAGUUGGAAUCGCUAGUAAUCGCUGAUCAGCAGGCAGCGGUGAAUACGUUCCCGGGCCUU